RNAcentral lists this ribosomal RNA (873 nucleotides) under Pholis crassispina. RNAcentral's name for it is "partial 16S ribosomal RNA". It matches the Rfam family "Bacterial large subunit ribosomal RNA", at positions 610 to 2018 of the family's 2925-position model. Lineage: Eukaryota; Metazoa; Chordata; Actinopteri; Perciformes; Pholidae. The record is from RNAcentral.
GCAUCAUGAUUUAGCAAGUGUAACCCAAGCGAAGCGUGCUUUAGUUUGGUAUCCCGAAACUGGGUGAGCUACUCCAAGACAGCCUAUUAAUAGGGCACACCCGUCUCUGUGGCAAAAGAGUGGGAGGAGCUUUGAGUAGAGGUGACAGACCUACCGAACCUAGUUAUAGCUGGUUGUUCAAGAAAUGAAUAGAAGUUCAGCCUCCUGGCUUCUCUUUUCACUUUAGUUUAACCCCUAUUGAUGUGCUUAAGAAACCGAGAGAGUUAGUCAAAGGGGGUACAGCCCCUUUGAACCAAGACACAACUUUAUCAGGAGGGUAAAGAUCAUAAUAAACCAAAGGUAAAUAUUUGGGUGGGCCUAAAAGCAGCCAUCCCCUUAGAAAGCGUUAAAGCUCAGAUAUACCGUCAACCCUUCUUAUUCUGAUCACAUAAUCUUAUCCCCCUAAACAUACUGAACCAUCCCAUGCCUGCAUGGGAGUGAUUAUGCUAAUAUGAGUAAUAAGAGAGCCUUUGGCUCUCUCCCUGCACACGUGUACGUCGGAACGGACACCCCGCCGACCAUUAACGGCCCCAAUCAAAGAGGGCACUGAAUAAUAGAUUAAACAACAAGAAAAGCGUUCAGGAAUUAACCGUUAACCCCACACAGGUGUGCCCACAGGGAAAGGCUAAAAGAGAGAGAAGGAACUCGGCAAACACAUCAAAGCCUCGCCUGUUUACCAAAAACAUCGCCUCUUGCAAACUUAAUAAAUAAGAGGUCCCGCCUGCCCUGUGACUAUUAGUUUAACGGCCGCGGUAUUUUGACCGUGCGAAGGUAGCGCAAUCACUUGUCUUUUAAAUGAAGACCUGUAUGAAUGGCAUAACGAGGGCUUAACUG